Molecule: long non-coding RNA, 1037 nt
Filed under: Cricetulus griseus (Chinese hamster)
Lineage: Eukaryota; Metazoa; Chordata; Mammalia; Rodentia; Cricetidae
Description: lncRNA (ENSCGRG00015032190.1)
Source: RNAcentral
GGACUUCGCUGGAGGAAGUAUGUCACUGGGAGAGAGUGCUUAGGGAUAACAUCCCUGUAGCUCUCCUGUCACUCUCCCUCCCUCUCCCCACCACAUCUUUUCCUGUUUGCAGUGAGGUGAAGAAACCCUUCCUCCAAAUGCUCCUGCCACGGUGAUGCUCUGCCCAAGUGGACACAGCCAAGCAACCCUGUGCCAGGCCCUCUGAAACUAUGAGCGCUUCUCUGUAUGGGCUAGUUGGAGUUUCCAAACAGCUUGGUGGACUGAGAAUUGUCACACUGUGCACAAGGCAGGGUACAACUCUUGCACAGUUGUAGCCAGAGAACCAACUAAAGGUACCCAUAUUCUACCAUGAGCCUUGGGAAUUGCCCAGCAUUACUUCUUCAGUGUACGCUGGAACAACUGUAAACCUGCCCAAUUUCAAUGGGAAGGAAUGUGGAUUCCAACUCUCAAAGGUAUAGCUCCUUGAUGCAGAGGCCCCAUUUGUCCUUCUAUGUGAGCCCCUGAACUGCUGCCACCUCCAAAUGAAGGACACAGACAUGCAGGAGAGGGAUAUGGCUUCCAAGUUCCCUAGCUCCCAGCCUGCCUGCCUCACUGAAGACAGAUGAAGAAGCAGAUGUAGGCUAGGAGGUGAGCAUCAGGCUUCAUGUGGCAUCUCCUGCAGAGCCUUGACUGACAUGAAAGGAGAUGGGUGAGGACUUCAGGUAAUACUGGCAGCCAUCCCACUGGAAAACACAAACACAUCCAUCUGAACAUUUGCAAAUAAAAUGGGGGUCUCUGGUGUACAGCAGCAUGAACAUGCUGAGUAUGGGACUCUGAUGGGAGGACUAGAAGCUGUUGUGCCUCAAAGCACAAGUGACACAUUGUUCAAUUCCUUCCACUACCCACCCAAAAGUAAAAAGGACUUCUGGCUGCAUGGGUCCUGUCUCAUUCUUCUAUCAGUCCUGUUUCUCCAGCCUCUCUUUCAGCCUGCCUCAGUGGACACUUCAGGCCUAAAGCUCUGAAUGUAUGGGAAGGCUGUGUGGUCAUGAGAAACAGCA